This is a long non-coding RNA of Wasmannia auropunctata (little fire ant), 7185 nucleotides long. RefSeq lists it as uncharacterized. The record is from RefSeq and is a predicted model, not a curated record. Lineage: Eukaryota; Metazoa; Arthropoda; Insecta; Hymenoptera; Formicidae. The transcript is spliced from 2 exons.
UGAAUUUGUAUCAACAACCGUCAAAGGGUAUAUAUAACUGAGAUAAUUUCAAAAGUCUAAAAUAUAAAAUAUAAGAUAUAAAACAUAAAAUUAAAACUUAAAUUAUAUUUUUAAACUAAAUUGUUUUACUUACUGGAAAAAUUGGGAAAAGCGGAAGAACUUUAAGCUCCACGGGAAGAUCGUAAUAUAUAUAGAUAUAUAUUAUAUAUUUUGAUAUAUAAUACUCCAUCGGAUACAAUAAUACAUCUGGAUCUGUAUGGAACAAACAGUUAGACAAUGCAACAUUCGCAUAACUGCAAGGUAUACUAGCAAUUUUUUUUAUAUCUCAUAUAUAUUUAUAUAAUAAUAUAUAUUUCUCUCUCGUGUGUGCUUCCUGCGCGCUUCAUGAAGACUUUCGGUUAGAUAGGUCUUUCGAUUUCUGCGAGAAAAGAAGGUACAGCUCGUUUUGUGCAUUUUGUUCCGUACGAAAUUUUUUUUUCGUUUUUCGGUAUUCUCCGUUUUUUUUGCGUUUUUUUUCCUUUCUUUUUCGUCGUUUCAAGCCCCGCCGCACGCGGGACGUGUGUAUACGUGUGUGCAGUCGUGACGCGUCGCACAUUUUGCUGCCUAGUAGCCCUUUUAAACCUUCGGGAUAAAGUGUAAAAUGCCCGGGAGUGUCCUUCGAGGACGCGGACGGGCCGACAAAUGUCUCCAUUUACCCAUACGUGACCGAUCCCGAGGUUCUCGAAAUGGGAAACGUGAGUGGGAAGAUACGCGAAAUUAUUUCCGCGCGCGGGAACUUCCGCGCGACGUCGAUUCUCUCACUUAUCCUCACCGAGAGGAUAAAUUUAUUCCUCGCCGGAAAAUAUAAAUUGCAUACUUAAUUCUCUCCGACUUCUUCACAGUCAUUUUUUUCCCCUCCUCCACCCGUUACGAAAUGCUCGUUCGCCAAUUCCCUCCCUCCUCCACCCCUCUGCUUUAUCGCCGAGAGCCUAUCGCCCGAUUGCACCAGUUUGAUACUCGAGCGAUCGAUAGUGUUUGCCGCCGAAAUUCGACGCCCGACGAGGAGUCCUCGAGUUACACUUCGGUGACGGGGGAGAAGGAAUGAAAAAGGGCGCUCGGUGUGGUCCGCGGAUCCUUCUCGUGCGGCGACGGCUUUUACAACGGACUCUUAAUAUUCAUUUCAUGCAACAUUUAUCGCGGCGCGAUCGCGGUUCGCCGGGGGAAAAGUCGCGGGCUCCGACUUCGUGAUAUCCCGCUGAUAUAUUCAGCGCUUGGUUGAAAAACCGAAAUGCAAAUCGAUGCGGCAGGGUAAAUGCACCACUAAAUGACCGCUCUUAGGCAUGUCGCUUUAGCUCCGAUCUCUUUCUCUCUCCUUUGUCGAGCGAAAGUAAAAAUUUCGUCGCGUAAUUAUGCUUCAAAUGAUCCGUGUCUCAAAUGUUUGACGCUUCAUCGACGUUUCGCGCGCGAGUGGUAAAAUAUAAUGUGAAAUUUAUAACGAAAGAGAGAGGAGAGAUAAAACUGACAUUGCAAGGAAAUGAGAAGUAGUUCUAGUGAAUGAUCGCUUUGAUCUAUCACACUGUAGAGAGCCAAGGGAAGUGUGUGACAGCCUUGGAUUAAUAGCACAACGCGAUGCUUAGAUAAAAUCAACAUUCAUUUUUUUAAUGACUCCAUAUCAAUAAAUUAUUAAUUUGAUGGAAGGUUUUUCUUUUCCUGUGCUGUACCCAAUUAUCCGUCAGGCCGCUGGUCAUAUUGUAAUACGAAGAAAUAUUUCCGAAACGAUAAUUAGCUCUUUCUCUUUCGAAAACACAAAAUUGCUUCAAACAAUUGCGGAAGUAAGCGUGUGCAGUGAAUAUCUAUUGAUCAAUUAUUCAGUAGUGUACGUACCCUGCGAUUAAUUGAGGUGAAAAAUUGGAAUGAAAGAUUGCACUGCGAGGAAAAAAAAAAUUGCUCGGGGAAAAAUGGCGAUGUUCCCCUUUGUACAAAUAUUAUAUCAUAUACAAAUAAAUUACGUGUGCGGAUACGCCAUUAAAAUUUAUCCACGCAGUCGACGUAUAUACACAAAUGUAAUCGUUAAAUCGAUUAACUUGUUGCAUUAGUCGUGCAAUUUGUUGACCCAAAAUUUCCUCGGGGCAAGAUAAUUUCGUCCGCCCCAAUAAUUUCUUUUUUUUUUUUAUUCUUCUUCAGCGUAGUAUUGGAUAAUCACGACGAAGGUUUGCGAACCUCGUCGACGAUAGGAUGUCGCGAACCGCGGAAGCGCUAAUUACCUUACCUAAUUUGUCGAUCGAUUUUUAGUCUCUCGGUGAGAGUAAGGGUGCGCACACAUCGUUUCGUCGUGGUCGCACGCGACUUUCGCUCGAAAUCCUGUCUCGCGAUGGCCACGCACCCUCUCUCGUUCACGAUUUUUUUUUCUUUAUAUAUAUAUAUAUAUAUAUGUAUAUAUUCUCCGUUUUUUUUUUCGCUAUUGAACACACGUACUCUUUCUCCCUGAGGUAACGUAUUCGCCGGUCCCGGCGAGCGGAGAGCGAACCGCGGUAGCGUGACAUGAUGGAUCGCGUUUCUCGAAAUCCUCUCUUCGUAUUUAAAUACCUUAGCGGUAUAGAAUACUUUGGUGAUAGCGUGUCCUCUUCGAGCGUUACAAAACGUUAAUGUCGUAUCAAGAUGAACAGUGAUAUAUAAAUCUAAGAUGAAAGUAACUUUACGAAAAGCUUCAGCGUUCACCGUGUAUUUAUGGAAAGGAGGAAGAGAGAAAGAGAGAGAGAGAGAGAGAGAGAGAGAGAGAGAGAGGGGGAGAAACAGAGAGAGAAAGACUCCCUAUUAGAGACUUCUUGCGAUAGCGUGUUUCGAACAUGCUAAAUAUUAAUAUUGCGCCAAAGUCGCGUGUGUGGGGCGAAUGAUAAUUUAAGUCCAGAAUGGAAAUUGCCGUUUUGCGCGCCAAACGUGGGAGCCCGCGUGCGCUUGGCGUCACUCCGAAGUACGGUAUCGCAAAAACCUUCCUGUCUUCGUUGGAAAAUCGAUUUUCGCGACACGCCGUCGUUAUUUAUCGUCCGUUUAUCGUUCGUCCCGCAGGAAGUUUCUCUGCGUACGACGACGCGCAACGGUUAGUUUGAUUAUUCGUGGUACGGGGGUUAACGAAGUUAAUGACUGAUAGGGCGACUCGGUAAUGUGUAUCGUCCCUAAAAGGAAGCGGUACACAGCUGGACUGUACAUUGCCGAGGGAAGAACAAAGAUGAACGUUAUCGUCAUCGUUCCUUCUCGCGAUGCAGUUUCGCCUUUGUCUCGACCGGGCCGCACUCUAAUGAUCAUUUUCGAUUAAAGAAGAAAACGCGGACGAAAACCUCAGACAAGUAGGGCGCUAUUCUUGGCUCUCCGCACUACUUUUGCGCGAAACCGAGUCUGACAUUUUCCAAAUGCGUUCGCGAACGAUCUCGAAGCUGCAGCAACGAAUGUCUGCUAGGUAAUUCAUCUUUAAAUAUCCAUGGGAUCUUAAGCCGUAUAUGCGGAGUGCCCUAAUAAUGAAAAGUGGACGCUAUUUUGGUGGCAAACGCGGGGAUGUUGCGAUGGCAGUUAUUGGCGUGGAAAUAACGUACCGUUUUAAACGCGACUGCGUGUACGGCCGGCGUUAAUUUUUUUUUCCCCACUCGAAACAACUACGCCUUCGGCCUUCCAACGAAGCGUUUUUUUUUCUCUUUCAAUGGCUUACGUAAUUGGAACAAACGCGGUAAUGCAAUUUGCAUUGAUGAUGGAAAUUAACGUCUAUCAUUUUACGAGGAUUAUUAAACGAGAGAACUUUUCCGAGAAUAAUUGUAAUAAAUAAAAUACGACAGACGCGCGGGUUCUAAUGGAUUCGCAUCGCGUGUCACGCCUCUGGGAUUGUCUCCCCGUUAAGUCACGUGUCCUCCCGCAGUCGGUCGCGUUUCGUGUCGGUCGCGACCUUUUCCAAGGGUCAACAUCAACGAUAUCCGCGCGCCGGAUCCGAGCGUGGAGAGAGCAACAUGGGCGCGAAUCGUCCUCAGAGAGAAAUAGAGAUAGAUAAAGACGGCGAGGAAGAUACAGAGACGGAGAGGCCUUCUGCCUUCCCGAGACCUCCUAGGAAAUUGACAUUUGCGCGAAGGGCCCAUUACCCUAGAGACCACACUUUUUUUUUUCCACUGCCACUUACGAUAAGAGUAAAAAUUUAUACAAGUUUUCCCGUUGACGAUCGAAGAGUCCUGGCCGUUCUCUCGGAUAUUCGGUAUCAUCGAGGUUCGAAUCGGGCGUGCCGCUGAGAAUCCAACCAUUCGAAUUAUUAAUGAAUAAAGUAACUUUGUACUGUUUCACUCUUUGCACUCUUUCGCCUCGCUAGAAAUAAAAGACAACAAAGUACGAAACUACAAAGUAAAAAGUUAUAUACGGAACUCCUUCGUGGCACGUACAGGAAUAUGAGCGGAUAUUCUUUUCGAGUGAAUCUUCUCUGAAAAAAAGAAGAAUUGAAAAUUGAAAUUGAUAUCGGAAUUCGGAAAUGAUAAUAACGAUGACGAUAAAUGAUGGAAAUAAGGAUAAUAGGAUCGUCGUUAUUGAUCGUUUAAACGCGUCUUUAGUCGCGAAGAAAUUCAGAUUUGGAAGAUUGAUGGAAUCACCGGGAGUUUAUAAACGGCUAUCCUCUUCGGAUAGGCGUUUAGAAUCUAAUUCAGUUCGCGUAUGCCAUGACAAUCCUGUGAUCGAUCGGAGGAGUAUCAAUAAUUCCCGCGUGCCCUCUUUCUAUUUACGUGUCAUCUACGAUCACCGCGAUCGAUCUCGCGACGAACGCGAAACGAGGAACGCAAGUUGCGCAUGCUUUCAUAUUGAUAUAGUGUUAUUUUAGCAUGAAACAGGAAGAUGGCAAGAUAACAGAAUGUAAACGUCUCUAUUUACAUGCAAUCUCAAAUAUUUCUCGCGGCGAAUGUAUAUAAAAUUUCUGGACACGGUGUAAAAAAUCGUCGAGCAUCAGGAUUGGCAACUUUUCUCGGCGAUAUUCCGACAGAACUUUCGUCUAACUAACGUAUACAAAUUUGUAUCAGUUUAUUAACAGUAACAGCGAUAAGCAUGUUUCCCGAAAUUUUUCUAAUUUAAUUUUUGAUUAUCAAUUCCGAGAGAGAAAAAUUGUACGCAAACAGGAAAAAAAAGCUAUAAGUUGACAAGCUGAAAAUUGACAGAUAUUGUCAUUUUUCGCGAGUUACGAGCAACUCCGUGAGCAACAGCUGAAAAAUUGUGCGUCCAAUUAUGUGCGAAAUAUAAACGCAAUUUUUGACAAAUAUACCCGGCUCUUUAUCGACAGCUGGUUAUAUUUUAUCUGAAAUCAAUGAGAUGCGUUGGUGCCGAUCGUCGCUGACUGUCGCAGUUUUCUACGAGUUAAAUCAACAAACAGCAUAAAAACGUCAAUCUCGGUUGACAUAUUUCAUUAAAACGUCACUCGCCGCACACGUGGUACAUCAAAGUCCAGGUGCGUAUUACAUCGCGCGGAAGAACUCCUUCGCAAAAGUGAUGUGAUUUUCGAUUUUUUUUACACCGGUUUUUUUAAUGACAGAUUUUUCACGCACGAGCUUUCGACAGGCUUACGACGAAUUCGGCGAGAUUAGACACGUACAAAUUUUCGCACGGACGAUACGUAAUGGUCACAAGGGCGAGGUGACACCAACGAGUUGUUUUUACGAUUAAAUCGCGACCCCGUUCCAAGACAAUAGAUAUUUGCAUUCACAUGCACUCGGCCUCGCAUCGCGGGUGGGUAUCCUGCGUGACUUAUAUAAUCCAAGGCCGCCGCGAAUAAAAGGCAGUAGUCGGCGUCGAUUGACUGGUUGCACCGCCACCGCCGCUCUGCCACCGCGCUUGUAUCAAUUAUCGAGCGCAUAUUGGAAGUCGGAAACGCGUAUGAAAUCGGUCCCGAUGAGCCCGAAUCCCCGCUGCGAAUAUUCGCGGGGGCUUAAUGCGGGCAUAAAAUGUGGUAUCUCGCGCCGGCAGGCUCAACCUGCCGAGAGAGAGAGAGAGAGAGUAUCUCUUUGCGGGAAGAUACACCGCGGUUAUUAUCAAACUCGCGAAGUUCGUGUGAAUUGUUUCGGUAUAUCCGUCUCUCUCCCUCUCUCUCUCUCUCUCCGAGAUCCGAGCGAUGCGAUUUCGAAUUAACGGUGGUAAUUUGCGCGGUAUAUAUCGGCUAUAAUUGAUGGUAGGGCAUCGAUUCGCUCGAUUUGGAAAAGGAAGAAACCUCUCGGCGAGAUAAUCGAAUUGAGAUCAUUGAAUUACUGCAGAACGCAUGCCACACGGGUUGUUUCUGCAAACAUCGGCUAAAUGGAUUUGAGUGAUUCUUUCAAUUAAGUGCGAACCACGAUUCGCAACGUACGCGCAACGAUGCGUAAAUCUUUUGUCGUUUGUUCAUUGAACUUUAUAUGCGAUUUAUGUGUAUCGCAGAAGCUGGGAAUUUUUCAUCCUGCAAGAGAGUUACAAAUACCUCGAAAGUCGGGUAUUUUGCAUCCCUCGCGAGUAAAAGCAGUUUAAUAUUAUUAGAAGAAUGAAUAAUCGUUAUCCGUAAAGAGCCUUUGGCGUGAAAAAGCGCGUGAAAAGAGGAUUAAAUGGAAAACAUCUUUCCUUUUGCACGCUUGAUACCGUAAAUUCGUAGUUAAUUAUGUGGAUAUGCGCGACGCGCAUGAUGAAAGAAUCGCCGUUAUCUACGCAUUAAGUGGUUUUAUUAGCACUCGUGAGAAGUUAAUAAGAGUUCCCUUAGCGAUGUAAUGGACGCCCUUAAAUUGGCGCUGGUGUGCGGCGAAUAUUGGCGGCUGGUUGAACCUUAUUUUACUUGUAGUAGUAUCGUAAUAAAAACUUUUAUUUCGGCGUAUCCCGCUCUAACGAGGAGUAUUAUAUAGUUGACCAAAGUUACACGUUUUAGUAAUCCUCUUAAGAUCGGAUUCUUGCGGGAAAGGAGAGCCCUCCCACCGCCUUCCAUCUAAUUCUGUGUCUGAUCAAUAACGACGUGUGUCACUUUACGUUUUGCUCCUGUUAAACGUAUUAAAACUAGAGGAAGCUUACUCGUUGACGAAGGAAAAUAAAUAACAGACGGAUGUUUAAAAAGAAUCCAGUAAGCUUUUUUAGUUGGGUUUUUUUCUCAAAAUGCUGCGAAUGCUGUCACCACAUUUCAUGUGCAAGAUCAUAAGAAAUGGAACGCAAACUUUCAAUGAAACAAUAAAUGAAUAAUAACAGUAA